AGCUUUGUGCAGUGGCAGUAUUGUAGCCAAUGAGGUUUACUCAAGGGGCGAUUAUUGCUAAUUGAAAAUAUUCACUCUUAAAAAUGAAUGCAGGGAUGGGCUGUGAGCAUCCCAGCAGUGACUUAACCUCUGCAACAAGCACCUUUG
This is a small nuclear RNA of Ochotona princeps (American pika), 147 nucleotides long. Its record names the gene U4. It matches the Rfam family "U4 spliceosomal RNA". Rfam says of the family: U4 small nuclear RNA (U4 snRNA) is a component of the major U2-dependent spliceosome. The structure of U4 snRNA from yeast and human has been reported. U4 snRNA presents a k-turn RNA motif in the 5p-SL related to recognition of Snu13 protein. The record is from Ensembl. Lineage: Eukaryota; Metazoa; Chordata; Mammalia; Lagomorpha; Ochotonidae.